CGUAACAAGGUAUCUGUAGGUGAACCUGCAGAUGGAUCA
Molecule: ribosomal RNA, 39 nt
Filed under: Cloacina setonicis
Lineage: Eukaryota; Metazoa; Nematoda; Chromadorea; Rhabditida; Strongylidae
Also listed under: 1 other name
Description: partial 18S ribosomal RNA
Source: RNAcentral